RNAcentral lists this ribosomal RNA (405 nucleotides) under uncultured bacterium. RNAcentral describes it as "partial 16S ribosomal RNA". It matches the Rfam family "Bacterial small subunit ribosomal RNA", at positions 30 to 526 of the family's 1533-position model. The record is from RNAcentral.
AUUGAACGCUGGCGGCAGGCUUAACACAUGCAAGUCGAACGAGUGGCGGACGGGUGCGUAAUGCUUGGGAAUCUAGCUUAUGGAUGGGGAUAACUACGGGCAACUGUAGCUAAUACCGCGUACCAUAGGAUGAGCCCAAGUGGGAUUAGGUAGUUGGUGGGGUAAAGGCUCACCAGGCCGACGAUCUCUAGCUGGUCUGAGAGGACGACCGGCCACACUGGGACGAAGACACGGCCCAGACUCCUACGGAGGGAAGCAGUGGGGAAUAUUGCGAAAUGGGGGCAACCUGACGCAGCCAGGCCGCGUGAAUGAAGAAGGCCUUCGGGUGGUAAAGUUCUUUCGGUAGCGAGGCGUUAACUACAGAAGAAGCACCGGCUAACUCCGUGCCAGCAGCCGCGGUAAUAC